This 204-nucleotide long non-coding RNA is filed under the name Musa acuminata (dwarf banana). Its description in RNAcentral is "long non-coding RNA (MACU_LNC003292)". The record is from RNAcentral. Lineage: Eukaryota; Viridiplantae; Streptophyta; Magnoliopsida; Zingiberales; Musaceae.
UAAUUAUAGAAGAAUCCAUUCAUGUUGUUUUCAAUGAGAUUUCUGAAAUUAAGAAAAAUGACUUUGAUGAUGAUGUUAAUUUUGAUUCUUUGAAUUUAAAUGGAAACCCUUCUCCAACUAGCAACUUGGAUGCAUUCACUUCCGAAACAUCCUUACCCAAGGAUUGGAAGUAUAUAGAUGCUCAUCCUAAGGAGCUAAUCCCAG